AUACGUAGGGGGCGAGCGUUGUCCGGAAUUACUGGGCGUAAAGGGCGUGUAGGCGGCGUUUUAAGUUAGGCGUGAAAGACCCCGGCUUAACCGGGGGGUUGCGUCUAAAACUGGAGUGCUUGAGUGCAGGAGAGGAAAGCGGAAUUCCCGGUGUAGCGGUGAUAUGCGUAGAUAUCGGGAGGAACACCAGUGGCGAAGGCGGCUUUCUGGCCUGCAACUGACGCUGAGGCGCGAAAGCUGGGGGAGCAAACAGGAUUAGAUACCCUGGUAGUCCCAGCUGUAAACGAUGGAUACUAGGUGUAGGAGGUAUCGACCCCUUCUGUGCCGGAGUUAACGCAAUAAGUAUCCCGCCUGGGGAGUACGGCCGCAAGGUUGAA
Molecule: ribosomal RNA, 377 nt
Filed under: uncultured bacterium
Lineage: Bacteria
Description: bacterial SSU rRNA
Rfam family: Bacterial small subunit ribosomal RNA
Source: RNAcentral